GCUCGGGACGAACGCUGGCGGCGUGCUUAACACAUGCAAGUCGAGCGGGAAACUUCGGUUUCCAGCGGCGGACGGGUGAGUAACACGUGGGCAACCUGCCUCACAAUGAGGGAUAGCCUUCCGAAAGGAAGAUUAAUACCUCAUAAUACAAAGAAAACGCAUGUUUUCUUUGCCAAAGAAUUUCGUUGUGAGAUGGGCCCGCGGCGCAUUAGCUUGUUGGUGAGGUAACGGCUCACCAAGGCUUCGAUGCGUAGCCGACCUGAGAGGGUGAUCGGCCACAUUGGAACUGAGGCACGGUCCAGACUCCUACGGGAGGCAGCAGUGGGGAAUAUUGCACAAUGGAGGAAACUCUGAUGCAGCAACGCCGCGUGAGUGAUGAAGGUCUUCGGAUUGUAAAGCUCUGUCUUCUGGGACGAUAAUGACGGUACCAGAGGAGGAAGCCACGGCUAACUACGUGCCAGCAGCCGCGGUAAUACGUAGGUGGCAAGCGUUGUCCGGAUUUACUGGGCGUAAAGGAUGUGUAGGCGGAUAUUUAAGUGAGAUGUGAAAUCCCCGGGCUUAACUUGGGGGCUGCAUUUCAAACUGGAUGUCUAGAGUGCAGGAGAGGAAAGCAGAAUUCCUAGUGUAGCGGUGAAAUGCGUAGAGAUUAGGAAGAAUACCAGUGGCGAAGGCGGCUUUCUGGACUGUAACUG
RNAcentral lists this ribosomal RNA (692 nucleotides) under uncultured bacterium. RNAcentral describes it as "bacterial SSU rRNA". It matches the Rfam family "Bacterial small subunit ribosomal RNA", at positions 22 to 742 of the family's 1533-position model. The record is from RNAcentral.